UACGUAGGGUGCGAGCGUUAAUCGGAAUUACUGGGCGUAAAGCGUGCGCAGGCGGUUCGUUGUGUCGGCGGUGAAAGCCCCGGGCUUAACCUGGGAAUGGCCGUUGAAACUGGCGAACUGGAGUGUGGCAGUGGGGGGUGGAAUUCCGCGUGUAGCAGUGAAAUGCGUAGAGAUGCGGAGGAACACCGAUGGCGAAGGCAGCCCCCUGGGCUGACACUGACGCUCAGGCACGAAAGCGUGGGGAGCAAACAGG
RNAcentral lists this ribosomal RNA (253 nucleotides) under uncultured bacterium. RNAcentral's name for it is "partial 16S ribosomal RNA". It matches the Rfam family "Bacterial small subunit ribosomal RNA", at positions 524 to 776 of the family's 1533-position model. The record is from RNAcentral.